RNAcentral lists this ribosomal RNA (1297 nucleotides) under Ochrophlegma sp. TAMUIC IGC OR279. RNAcentral's name for it is "16S ribosomal RNA". The stretch from base 606 to 1297 matches the Rfam family "Archaeal large subunit ribosomal RNA", at positions 1424 to 2804 of the family's 2987-position model. The record is from RNAcentral. Lineage: Eukaryota; Metazoa; Arthropoda; Insecta; Orthoptera; Pyrgomorphidae.
UUAUUUUAUAAAAUUAUUUUAUUUGAAUUGUUUCAUAUUUAUUUAAUAGAAAUAACUUUUUUAUAUUUAAGUCUAAGUAUUUUUUAAUGAAUUGAUUUAAUUAAUUAUAGUCAAUAAKUAAUGWAAAUGAAAUWAUUUAAUGAUUUAAAAAGUACUUUUAAUUUAGGGUACCUUUUGUAUCAGGGUUGAUAAAUAUUUUUGGAUUAAUAAUUCUUAUCUCGAUUUAGGUUGAUUUAUAAUUAAAUGUAUUUUUAUUGUAUUAAAAAUAUUUUAAAUUUAAUUAUAGAAAUGAUAUGUUAAUCGUUUCCUAUGAUAUCUAGUUUUUCAAGAAUAAAUUUAAUUUUUUGUAGUUUAUUAAUUAUUUAAUAUUAUUUUUUUAUAAUUAUUUACUAAUUUAAACUUUAGGGGAUAAGCUCUAGAGAAAUUUCUAAAAAUUAAAUUUUAAUAUUUAAAAGUAGGCUUUAAACCAGUUAUCUUUAUGAUUUCGUUUUAGUUCAUUUUUGAAAAUAAUUUUAUAGAAUUUUUAGUUUAUAUAUUGAAAUGAUUAAAUUAAUUAAAAAUUUUUAGAAAUAAUGAUUAAAUUAGUAUAUUUAUUUAUUUAAAAUAUUAUUAUUAAUAAUUUAAUUUAAGGAAUUAGGCAAAUUUACUCUUCGCCUGUUUAUCAAAAACAUGUCUUUUUGAUUAUAAUUUAAAGUCUAACCUGCUCACUGAAUUUUUAAAGAGCCGCGGUAUUUUGACCGUGCAAAGGUAGCAUAAUCAUUAGUCUUUUAAUUGAAGGCUGGAAUGAAUGGUUUGACGAAGGAGUGACUGUCUCAACUUAAUUAAUAAAAUUUAACUUUUGAGUUAAAAGGCUUAAAUUUAACUUUAGGACGAAAAGACCCUAUAGAUCUUAAUGUAUUAUUUAAAAAUAUUUUAUUGAUAAUUUAUUUUAUUUGUUAUUUAAAACAUUUUGUUGGGGUGACAUAAAGAAUAAAUAAACUCUUUAUUAUAUUAUCAUUAAUUUAUGAAAGUUUGAUCCAUUAUUUAUGAUUAUAAGAUUAAGUUACCUUAGGGAUAACAGCGUAAUUGUUUUUAAGAGUUCAUAUCGACAAAACAGAUUGCGACCUCGAUGUUGGAUUAAGAUAAGUUCUUGGUGAAUCAGCUUAGAAACUAGGUCUGUUCGACCUUUAAAAUCUUACAUGAUCUGAGUUCAGACCGGCGUGAGCCAGGUCGGUUUCUAUCCUAAGUUUAUUAAUUUAUGUUAGUACGAAAGGACCAUAUAAUUGAAAUAUUUUUUAUUUAUUGAUUUUCAUUAAUU